GAUGAACGCUGGCGGCGUGCCUAAUACAUGCAAGUCGAACGGGAGGCUUCAUUUCGGUGGAGCUGAGAGUGGCGCACGGGUGAGUAACACAUGGCUGACCUGCCCUUCAGAGGGGGACAACCAGUGGAAACGCUGGCUAAUACCCCAUACGUUCUUCGGGAUUAGAAGCCGGAGAAGAAAGCGUUAGUGCUGAAGGAGGGGGCUGUGGCCCAUCAGCUGGUUGGUAGGGUAACGGCCUACCAAGGCGAGGACGGGUAGGGGGCCUGAGAGGGUGACCCCCCACACGGGUACUGAGAGACGGACCCGACUCCUACGGGAGGCUG
Molecule: ribosomal RNA, 323 nt
Filed under: uncultured Pseudomonadota bacterium
Lineage: Bacteria; Pseudomonadati; Pseudomonadota
Description: bacterial SSU rRNA
Rfam family: Bacterial small subunit ribosomal RNA
Source: RNAcentral